UUUUAUAUAAAAAUUUUGCACCUUCAGUUAACACAUUCUGUAUCUACAGUUAACAAUUUCUAUACAUGUAAAUUAAAUAACUUGAUAAUUGCUGACAC
This is a long non-coding RNA of Ipomoea nil (Japanese morning glory), 98 nucleotides long. RefSeq lists it as uncharacterized. The transcript has 4 exons. Lineage: Eukaryota; Viridiplantae; Streptophyta; Magnoliopsida; Solanales; Convolvulaceae. The record is from RefSeq and is a predicted model, not a curated record.